This 67-nucleotide transfer RNA is filed under the name Wiebesia pumilae. RNAcentral describes it as "tRNA-Gly". The record is from RNAcentral. Lineage: Eukaryota; Metazoa; Arthropoda; Insecta; Hymenoptera; Agaonidae.
AUUGAUAUAGUAUAAAUUAAUACAAUUAACUUCCAAUUAAUAGAUUUAUGUGUAAAUAAUAUUAAUA